Molecule: ribosomal RNA, 484 nt
Filed under: uncultured bacterium
Lineage: Bacteria
Description: partial 16S ribosomal RNA
Rfam family: Bacterial small subunit ribosomal RNA
Source: RNAcentral
GACGAACGCUGGCGGCGUGCUUAACACAUGCAAGUCGAACGGAAAGGCCCUGCUUUUGUGGGGUGCUCGAGUGGCGAACGGGUGAGUAACACGUGAGUAACCUGCCCUUGACAUUGGGAUAACUUCAGGAAACUGGGGCUAAUACCGGAUAGGAGCUCCUGCUGCAUGGUGGGGGUUGGAAAGUUUCGGCGGUUGGGGAGGGACUCGCGGCUUAUCAGCUUGUUGGUGGGGUAGUGGCUUACCAAGGCUUUGACGGGAAGCCGGCCUGAGAGGGUGACCGGACACAUUGGGACUGGGAUACGGCCCAGACUCCUACGGGAGGCAGCAGUGGGGAAUAUUGCACAAUGGGCGGAAGCCUGAUGCAGCAACGCCGCGUGCGGGAUGACGGCCUUCGGGUUGUAAACCGCUUUCGCCUGUGACGAAGCGUGAGUGACGGUAAUGGGUAAAGAAGCACCGGCUAACUACGUGCCAGCAGCCGCCGCGG